UAUAGGAGUUGUAGAAGUUUUUUGGAGUGCCAGAUUGUGAUAGUCAUGAGCCAAGAUUAAGCUUAGUGCUUCCUCUUUGUUUUCUUUGUUUCUUUGUUGUUGAAGAGUAACGGAUAAUUUUCGAAUACUGAGAAAUGAGUCUGUGGAAUAAAUUAGAGAUUGAUUUAUGAGUUAUUGAUUAUGUAAUUGGAAUAUUGAGUCAUUAAAUUAUAUGAGAAGUUAUUGGAAGAUUGAUUAUGGAUAGAAAAUUAUGAUUAUUUUUUAUUGAGAGUUGUGUGUCUUUUGGAUAGAAGAAGUCUGUGAUUACAGAAAUUUUGUGAAUCUAGAUUGGUUGGUGUGAAUUCUAUUAUUCGUGGUGUUAGAUGGAAUUUAUGAAUUUUGAGCAGUCUUUUAAGAGUGCAAGAUUGCUCACUGUUGUUAUCAAUUGAUGAAGGAG
Molecule: long non-coding RNA, 436 nt
Filed under: Physcomitrium patens
Lineage: Eukaryota; Viridiplantae; Streptophyta; Bryopsida; Funariales; Funariaceae
Description: long non-coding RNA (PPAT_LNC003838)
Source: RNAcentral